This 858-nucleotide ribosomal RNA is filed under the name Escherichia coli. RNAcentral describes it as "partial 23S ribosomal RNA". It matches the Rfam family "Bacterial large subunit ribosomal RNA", at positions 1 to 892 of the family's 2925-position model. The record is from RNAcentral. Lineage: Bacteria; Pseudomonadati; Pseudomonadota; Gammaproteobacteria; Enterobacterales; Enterobacteriaceae.
GGGUUGUGAGGUUAAGCGACUAAGCGUACACGGUGGAUGCCCUGGCAGUCAGAGGCGAUGAAGGACGUGCUAAUCUGCGAUAAGCGUCGGUAAGGUGAUAUGAACCGUUAUAACCGGCGAUUUCCGAAUGGGGAAACCCAGUGUGUUUCGACACACUAUCAUUAACUGAAUCCAUAGGUUAAUGAGGCGAACCGGGGGAACUGAAACAUCUAAGUACCCCGAGGAAAAGAAAUCAACCGAGAUUCCCCCAGUAGCGGCGAGCGAACGGGGAGCAGCCCAGAGCCUGAAUCAGUGUGUGUGUUAGUGGAAGCGUCUGGAAAGGCGCGCGAUACAGGGUGACAGCCCCGUACACAAAAAUGCACAUACUGUGAGCUCGAUGAGUAGGGCGGGACACGUGGUAUCCUGUCUGAAUAUGGGGGGACCAUCCUCCAAGGCUAAAUACUCCUGACUGACCGAUAGUGAACCAGUACCGUGAGGGAAAGGCGAAAAGAACCCCGGCGAGGGGAGUGAAAAAGAACCUGAAACCGUGUACGUACAAGCAGUGGGAGCACGCUUCGGCGUGUGACUGCGUACCUUUUGUAUAAUGGGUCAGCGACUUAUAUUCUGUAGCAAGGUUAACCGAAUAGGGGAGCCGAAGGGAAACCGAGUCUUAACUGGGCGUUAAGUUGCAGGGUAUAGACCCGAAACCCGGUGAUCUAGCCAUGGGCAGGUUGAAGGUUGGGUAACACUAACUGGAGGACCGAACCGACUAAUGUUGAAAAAUUAGCGGAUGACUUGUGGCUGGGGGUGAAAGGCCAAUCAAACCGGGAGAUAGCUGGUUCUCCCCGAAAGCUAUUUAGGUAGCGCCUCGUGAAUUCA